This 867-nucleotide ribosomal RNA is filed under the name uncultured archaeon. RNAcentral describes it as "bacterial SSU rRNA". It matches the Rfam family "Archaeal small subunit ribosomal RNA", at positions 5 to 879 of the family's 1478-position model. The record is from RNAcentral.
CGGUUGAUCCUGCCGGAGGCUAUUGCUAUCAGGGUUUGACUAAGCCAUGCGAGUCGAGAGGUGAAAGACCUCGGCAUACUGCUCAGUAACACGUGGAUAAUCUGCCCUCAGAUGAAGAAUAAUCCCGGGAAACUGGGGCUAAUGCUUCAUAGGAGACGGGUGCUGGAAUGCUCUGUCUCUGAAAGGUCCGCCGUCUGAGGAUGAGUCUGCGUCCGAUUAGGUUGUUGUUGGGGUAACGGCCCACCAAGCCUUUGAUCGGUACGGGUUGUGGGAGCAAGAGCCCGGAGAUGGAUUCUGAGACAUGAAUCCAGGCCCUACGGGGCGCAGCAGGCGCGAAAACUUUACAAUGCGAGCAAUCGUGAUAAGGAAACCCUGAGUGCCUGUUAUCGCAGGCUGUUCUGGUGUCUAACACACACCAGGAGAAAGGGCGGGGCAAGACCGGUGCCAGCCGCCGCGGUAAUACCGGCUGCUCGAGUGAUAGCCACUUUUACUGGGCUUAAAGCGUUCGUAGCUUGGUCGUUAAGUCUCUGGGGAAAUCUUUUGGCUCAACCAAAAGGCGUCUCAGGGAAACUGGCGACCUAGGAACCGGGAGAGGUAAGACGUACUUCGGGGGUAGGAGUGAAAUCUUGUAAUCCCCGAGGGACGACCGAUGGCGAAGGCAUCUUACCAGAACGGCUUCGACAGUGAGGGACGAAAGCUGGGGGAGCAAACCGGAUUAGAUACCCGGGUAGUCCCAGCCGUAAACGAUGUGCGUUAGGUGUGUCAGCGACUACGAGUCGCUGAGGUGCCGAAAGGGAAACCGUGAAACGCACCGCCUGGGAAGUACGGUCGCAAGGCUGAAACUUAAAGGAAUUGGCGGGGGAGCAC